This 429-nucleotide ribosomal RNA is filed under the name uncultured bacterium. RNAcentral describes it as "bacterial SSU rRNA". It matches the Rfam family "Bacterial small subunit ribosomal RNA", at positions 355 to 776 of the family's 1533-position model. The record is from RNAcentral.
UGGGGAAUAUUGGACAAUGGGCGCAAGCCUGAUCCAGCCAUGCCGCGUGGGUGAAGAAGGCCUUCGGGUUGUAAAGCCCUUUUGUCCGGAACGAAAAGCUGCGGGUUAAUACCCCGUAGUGCUGACGGUACCGGAAGAAUAAGCACCGGCUAACUUCGUGCCAGCAGCCGCGGUAAUACGAAGGGUGCAAGCGUUACUCGGAAUCACUGGGCGUAAAGCGUGCGUAGGCGGUUUCUUAAGUCUGUCGUGAAAGCCCUGGGCUCAACCUGGGAAUGGCGAUGGAUACUGGGAGGCUAGAGUGUGAUAGAGGAUGGUGGAAUUCCCGGUGUAGCGGUGAAAUGCGUAGAGAUCGGGAGGAACACCAGUGGCGAAGGCGGCCAUCUGGAUCAACACUGACGCUGAGGCACGAAAGCGUGGGGAGCAAACAGG